Molecule: long non-coding RNA, 301 nt
Filed under: Olea europaea (common olive)
Lineage: Eukaryota; Viridiplantae; Streptophyta; Magnoliopsida; Lamiales; Oleaceae
Description: long non-coding RNA (OEUR_LNC011738)
Source: RNAcentral
UUGGUUUCAAAAUACACUCCACGAACAUAACCAACCUCAACUUAAAUUUAUCUAUAUAGUCUUCACAUGAAUGGAAUGCUUGAUGCAACAUUCUCAUAUUAAUUCUUCUCAAACCAUUGAAAUAUUGAUUUAUAAGACGAUGGUUAUUAUGAUUAAUCUCCACAGAUGAUUCAUGGCAUGGUAAUCCAGUGAUGAGACAAUAUUCUUGCAUACUAAAUCUGGCAACACGAUCACCUAAGCGUACCCACAGUUCGUUAUUUUUACCACAGUGUAUAAGCCUCAUCACAAAUUCAUGUAUCAA